UGUUAGGUCUGCGUCCUGUGAGUCGGGGCACACUCCUCAUCUCCUCUUCUGCUUCUUCACGGUUAGUGGCUUGGCCCUGCUUUUCGGAGCCGGUUUUAGUGUAGGUGAGGUAAUGGGCUGUUGAGAGACUGCUUUGGCUGCUUGGGUCUGUGACAGUUUGGCCCAUAAUUGUGCCCAGAAGUGGUCAAAGGCUGUUGCUAUGUGGUCCUCGUGGGGGUCCCGCUUGCUACACUCCGUGUAGCCGCCAUCUUAAAUUGAAGCAUGCGGUUUGGUUGCUUGGC
Pelobates cultripes (western spadefoot toad) is the source of this 281-nucleotide non-coding RNA. The record is from the annotation of a GenBank genome assembly. NCBI's taxonomy places the organism in Eukaryota, Metazoa, Chordata, Amphibia, Anura, Pelobatidae.